RNAcentral lists this ribosomal RNA (253 nucleotides) under uncultured bacterium. RNAcentral's name for it is "partial 16S ribosomal RNA". It matches the Rfam family "Bacterial small subunit ribosomal RNA", at positions 524 to 776 of the family's 1533-position model. The record is from RNAcentral.
GACGAACCGUGCAAACGUUGUUCGGAAUCACUGGGCUUAAAGGGCGCGUAGGCGGGCAGCCAAGUCUGGGGUGAAAUCUUUCGGCUUAACCGGAAAAUUGCCUGGGAUACUGGCUGUCUUGAGGGAGGUAGGGGCAUGUGGAACUUCCGGUGGAGCGGUGAAAUGCGUAGAUAUCGGAAGGAACGCCGGUGGCGAAAGCGACGUGCUGGAUCUCUUCUGACGCUGAGGCGCGAAAGCUAGGGGAGCGAACGGG